AAAAAAAUGACGAAAAUACCCUCAACAAAACAUAAUAAUAUUAGCUUAGAAGAAAAGAGCAAAAGCAAGUGCAACAAAUGAAGAUAAAACGGCGGGGACGAAGACGGUAGCGUCGGAAGCCGGUGCCGGUGCCGGAGCGUCAGCGGCGGCGACGCCUUUCACGGCGGAGAUAGCCAUUAUCGUCAUCAUCAUCACUGCAACAACGAAGAUCUGCAUGUUAAUAGCUUCCAUUUUUUUUUUUCAAUUUUGGGGAAAAAUUUGAGUGAA
RNAcentral lists this unclassified non-coding RNA (267 nucleotides) under Hevea brasiliensis (rubber tree). Lineage: Eukaryota; Viridiplantae; Streptophyta; Magnoliopsida; Malpighiales; Euphorbiaceae. The record is from RNAcentral.